RNAcentral lists this transfer RNA (73 nucleotides) under Acropora cervicornis. RNAcentral's name for it is "tRNA-Asn". It matches the Rfam family "tRNA". Rfam says of the family: Transfer RNA (tRNA) molecules are approximately 80 nucleotides in length. Their secondary structure includes four short double-helical elements and three loops (D, anti-codon, and T loops). Further hydrogen bonds mediate the characteristic L-shaped molecular structure. tRNAs have two regions of fundamental functional importance: the anti-codon, which is responsible for specific mRNA codon recognition, and the 3' end, to which the tRNAs corresponding amino acid is attached (by aminoacyl-tRNA synthetases). tRNAs cope with the degeneracy of the genetic code in two manners: having more than one tRNA (with a specific anti-codon) for a particular amino acid; and 'wobble' base-pairing, i.e. permitting non-standard base-pairing at the 3rd anti-codon position. The record is from RNAcentral. Lineage: Eukaryota; Metazoa; Cnidaria; Anthozoa; Scleractinia; Acroporidae.
GGCUUCAUAGCUCAGUUGAUGAGAGCAUCACAUUGUUGCCGCGGGGUCACAGGUUUAAACCCUGUUGAAGUCC